This 549-nucleotide ribosomal RNA is filed under the name uncultured archaeon. RNAcentral describes it as "bacterial SSU rRNA". It matches the Rfam family "Archaeal small subunit ribosomal RNA", at positions 326 to 879 of the family's 1478-position model. The record is from RNAcentral.
CGGGGUGCAGCAGGCGCGAAAACUUUGCAAUGCGGGAAACCGUGACAAGGGAACUCUGAGUGCCCGUUAAAUCGGGCUGUCCAUCGGUUUAAAUAACCGGUGAAGAAAGGGCCGGGCAAGACCGGUGCCAGCCGCCGCGGUAAUACCGGCGGCUCGAGUGGUGGCCACUAUUACUGGGCUUAAAGCGUUCGUAGCUGGUUUGUUAAGUCUCUGGGGAAAUCUUCCGGCUUAACCGGAAGGCGUCUCAGGGAUACUGGCAAACUAGGGACCGGGAGAGGUGAGAGGUACUCCAGGGGUAGGAGUGAAAUCCUGUAAUCCUUGGGGGACCACCUGUGGCGAAGGCGUCUCACCGGAACGGCUCCGACAGUGAGGGACGAAAGCUGGGGGAGCAAACCGGAUUAGAUACCCGGGUAGUCCCAGCUGUAAACGAUGCGCGUUAGGUGUAUCGGUGGCCACGAGUCACCGAGGUGCCGAAGAGAAAUCGUGAAACGUGCCGCCUGGGAAGUACGGUCGCAAGGCUGAAACUUAAAGGAAUUGGCGGGGGAGCAC